Long non-coding RNA from Suricata suricatta (meerkat), 647 nucleotides. RefSeq lists it as uncharacterized. The transcript is spliced from 3 exons. The record is from RefSeq and is a predicted model, not a curated record. NCBI's taxonomy places the organism in Eukaryota, Metazoa, Chordata, Mammalia, Carnivora, Herpestidae.
UCCAAGGCUGGGUCAUAAAGGCAUUGUACUUCUGCCUUGCUAUCACUUGGAUCACUUACCUGAGGGAAACCAGCCACCAAGUCAAGAGGACAUUUCACUAGCCUUGUGAAGAGGCCCAGAUGGUAAAGAACCAAAGCUCCUUCCAACAGCCAGGUGAUGAGCCAUCUUGGCUCCAUCUUGGGAGAAGAUCUUCCAGCCCCAUCAUAGCCUUCAUAUGAUGUGGCCCUGAGUGACAUCUUGACUGCACCUCAUGAUAGACUCUGGGCCAGAAUACCCAGCUAAGCUACUCCAAAUCCCUGACCCACAGAGAAAUGAUUAAUUCAUCCCCCAGCCCCUUUCAAAUAGCUAGUCCAGGAUAUGAUCAUCGCCCCCCAAGAGUGGGAUGUGACAAGACAGAAAAAAGUCAUUCUGGUGAAUUUAUGAACAGAUUCCUCCUUGCUGAAAUGGAUGUUUUGAAAGCAGAAUCAACAAGACUUGGAGGUCAUAUGGAUGAUGGGGUGGUGAGGAGGAGAAAGUUUCUUCUCCCUUUAAGAGAUUUAUUUCCCAAACACCCCAGGCUAGUCUGCAAAGUUCUCCUUCCUCCCCCUGGUGUUCUCCUCUCAUGGCCUUGUAACAGGUUCAAUUGUUCUUACCCACUCAAUUAAUGA